GAUGAAGAACGUAGCGAAAUGCGAUAAGUAAUGUGAAUUGCAGAAUUCAGUGAAUCAUCGAAUCUUUGAACGCACAUUGCGCCCCCUGGUAUUCCGGGGGGCAUGCCUGUCCGAGCGUCAUUACAACCCUCAAGCUCAGCUUGGUGUUGGGCCCCGCCGCCCCGGCGGGCCCUAAAGUCAGUGGCGGUGCCGUCCGGCUCCGAGCGUAGUAAUUCUUCUCGCUCUGGAGGUCCGGUCGUGUGCUCGCCAGCAACCCCCAUUUUUUUUCAGGUUGACCUCGGAUCAGGUAGGGAUACCCGCUGAACUUAAGCAUAUCAAUAAGCGGAGGA
This 329-nucleotide unclassified non-coding RNA is filed under the name soil metagenome. RNAcentral's name for it is "partial contains 5.8S ribosomal RNA, internal transcribed spacer 2, and large subunit ribosomal RNA". The stretch from base 1 to 120 matches the Rfam family "5.8S ribosomal RNA", at positions 35 to 154 of the family's 154-position model. The record is from RNAcentral.